GAAGUUGUGCCGCAGGGCUGAGCUGG
Molecule: non-coding RNA, 26 nt
Filed under: Mus musculus (house mouse)
Lineage: Eukaryota; Metazoa; Chordata; Mammalia; Rodentia; Muridae
Source: RNAcentral